CAGAGGUCUCGAGCGUUAGGCGGAAUCACUGGGCUUAAAGCGUGUGUAGGCGGAUCGUUAAGUACCUUGUGAAAUCCCAUGGCUCAACCAUGGAACUGCUGGGUAUACUGGCGAUCUUGUGCAACCUAGGGGCGAGCGGAACAGAUGGUGGAGCGGUGAAAUGCGUAGAUAUCAUCUGGAACGCCAAUGGUGAAAACAGCUCGCUGGGGGUUUGCAGACGCUGAGACACGAAAGCCAGGGGAGCGAACGGGAUUAGAUACCCCGGUAGUCCUGGCCCUAAACGAUGUCGACUAGAUCGUAGUGCCUCUGACGGUAUUACGGUCGAAGCAAAAGUGCUAAGUCGACCGCCUGGGAAGUACGGUCGCAAGGCUA
This 372-nucleotide ribosomal RNA is filed under the name uncultured organism. Its description in RNAcentral is "bacterial SSU rRNA". It matches the Rfam family "Bacterial small subunit ribosomal RNA", at positions 526 to 896 of the family's 1533-position model. The record is from RNAcentral.